GCCCCAGUAGCUCAGCCCAGAGCGCCGGUUUUGUAACCCGGAGGCCGGGGGUUAGAAUCCCCCCUGGUGCC
This 71-nucleotide transfer RNA is filed under the name Chirocentrus nudus (whitefin wolf-herring). Its description in RNAcentral is "tRNA-Thr". It matches the Rfam family "tRNA". From Rfam's summary of the family: Transfer RNA (tRNA) molecules are approximately 80 nucleotides in length. The record is from RNAcentral. Lineage: Eukaryota; Metazoa; Chordata; Actinopteri; Clupeiformes; Chirocentridae.